Molecule: ribosomal RNA, 254 nt
Filed under: uncultured bacterium
Lineage: Bacteria
Description: partial 16S ribosomal RNA
Rfam family: Bacterial small subunit ribosomal RNA
Source: RNAcentral
UACGGGGGGGGGCAAGCGUUGUUCGGAAUUACUGGGCGUAAAGGGCGUGUAGGCGGGGAAGUAAGUCGGGCGUGAAAUCCCUAGGCUCAACCUAGGAACUGCACUCGAAACUACUUCUCUUGAGUAUCGGAGAGGAAAGCGGAAUACCUGGUGUAGAGGUGAAAUUCGUAGAUAUCAGGUGGAACACCAGUGGCGAAGGCGGCUUUCUGGACGGUAACUGACGCUGAGACGCGAAAGCGUGGGGAGCAAACAGG